CUCCCUCCCGCGCGCACCCCCCUCCCCAUCUCGGUGCAACCACCGAUUCCGGCCACCACCGACCGUGACAUCGGUGCCAAACAGACCGGCCAGGCCCCACCGUCACACCCCAGCCAAGCUCCGUCGAUAACAGCCGCGAAUUUCGCCGGAAAUUGCAGAAAUCCGGUGGUUUUUCCCGAUUUUUCAAACCGCUCGUUCUCUCUCAUUUCUUCACCAAAUUGGACGUAUAAGGUACUCCGACCCAACAUACGCAGCAGGCGGGACCCUCUAAGGGUCAAGCUGUGUGGGAUUACUUCCAGUAGCGACUGAGUUUUGCAGUUGAGCCGGACCGGGUGCAUUUUGGAAUUCGAGUCUU
This is a non-coding RNA of Prunus mume (Japanese apricot), 355 nucleotides long. The record is from RefSeq and is a predicted model, not a curated record. Lineage: Eukaryota; Viridiplantae; Streptophyta; Magnoliopsida; Rosales; Rosaceae.